AUCCAGCUGACGAGUCCCAAGUGGGAUGAAAUGCGAAUCCUGUAU
Molecule: non-coding RNA, 45 nt
Organism: Schistosoma rodhaini
Lineage: Eukaryota; Metazoa; Platyhelminthes; Trematoda; Strigeidida; Schistosomatidae
Source: Rfam